AUUGAACGCUGGCGGCAGGCCUAACACAUGCAAGUCGAGCGGAGCGGCGGACGGGUGAGUAAUGCCUAGGAAUCUGCCUGGUAGUGGGGGAUAACGUCCGGAAACGGGCGCUAAUACCGCAUCCUAUCAGAUGAGCCUCGGUCGGAUUAGCUUGUUGGUGGGGAAAAGGCCUACCAGGGCGACGAUCCGUAACUGGUCUGAGAGGAUGAUCAGUAACACUGAAACUGAGAAAGGGUCCAGACUCCUAGGGGGGGCAGCAGUGGGGAUUAUUGGACAAUGGGCGAAGGCCUGAUCCAGCCAUGCCGCGUGUGUGAAGAAGGUCUUGGGAUUGUAAAGCACUUUAGGUUGGGAGGCGUUACCAACAGAAUAAGCACCGGCUAACAUCGUGCCAGCGGCCGCGGUAAUA
This 406-nucleotide ribosomal RNA is filed under the name uncultured bacterium. RNAcentral describes it as "partial 16S ribosomal RNA". It matches the Rfam family "Bacterial small subunit ribosomal RNA", at positions 30 to 525 of the family's 1533-position model. The record is from RNAcentral.